RNAcentral lists this long non-coding RNA (2596 nucleotides) under Fukomys damarensis (Damara mole-rat). Its description in RNAcentral is "lncRNA (ENSFDAG00000026569.1)". The record is from RNAcentral. Lineage: Eukaryota; Metazoa; Chordata; Mammalia; Rodentia; Bathyergidae.
CUGAUCAGUCCAGAGAUUGCUGUGGCUACCUGGCCUGUCCUUUGUUCCCCCAAACCCUUCUGGUAUUUGUGCAAGAGGGGAAGGGCUCUGUCAACACUGUCACUCCCUCGGUGACCAUCAGGCAUUCCACACCCACUUAAUCCAAGUGGGGUGAAUAGGGCAAAUUGUAUGUCCUGUUUGGCUUUUUUAAGGUGCCAGCUCUUUCCUGACUCAAUUUAUCUAUUUUUUAAAAAUCGCCUAGCCUUCUGCUGUAAUCAGGAGUGUGUGUGUGUGGUGUGUGCGCACACGCGUGCUUGGUCGGUGUCUUGUACCAGGCAGCAUUCGUUCGUUGUGCCAGGCACGGGGGCUGUAGGGCUGGCCCCACCGAGGCUCUGCACGGUGGAGCUGGUGUUCUCUGCAGGAGACAGCGUGGCAGUACUGGGAGAGGUGCUACCACCUGAACACCGUGGGACUCACUACUUGGUCCUUUUGUUUUGCGUGCGGUGCUGUUGCAUAGUAUGGUUGCCCUUGCACUAGAGGAGAGAGACACACUUGAAUCUUUGCUCAUGUUUGAGUCUUUGCUUUCCUUGCUGCUGCUCACACAACCCCCUUCUCUGAGAGUUCUGUCCAUGCCUUGGGUUAGCUUGAUCAUGCCAGCCAAGGCUCCAUGUGAUUCCACGUAGAAGGAACAAGAGCCAGCUGAGAAUAGCACGUGGAAGAAUUGGACUUUUGUCAAAUGAAUAGAUCUUGAUAAAAGCAGAAAUGUUAAGGGAUCGAUUAUAUACAAAGCACUGUUCUAGAUGCUAAGAGGAAUGGUUUUGUUGGCCCAGAACUUAAUAAUCAACUAUAAAAUGUUAUGCUAUGUACCAUCACCAGGAGGAAACAUCCUGGUGACAGACCACCCCUUUCUUUUAAUUCGUAAAAAUCACAAUGACUAGAGACACCAGGCUGUGUUCCGAUGUGUGGGUGGCUGAAUGGGUCCCCCAUUUGGAGUCCCAGCCGCACCUCCUGUGGGGCAGUCUUCGUGGGCAAAGCUUCUCUGGCAGAAUGGAACUACCUCAAGAAUUCUCCCCACUGUGCCAGGGUUCUGAGACAGGGAACUGGCUGGACCUCAGAACCAUCUACAAUGGAACAUUCCUGAACAGGCAAUGCUGGUGCCCCCCCCACACACACCAGCAUGGAGUGAGCAGGAAGCUGUUUGAUCCAUCCCCUGUCCCCCACCACCUGGGCUCAUUAGAGGAGGCUUUGUACCUGGAGCGUCUGCUAUUGGAGCUUCCUCCGUCUCAGGAAAUGAGUGAAUGCGCUUGCUGGGGCCACUUCUGCUGUUUGUGUGAAAUACAGCCUUUCUUCCUGUCCUGUUCACAGCCCCAUCUGUGCUCCAGGACAUCUGGAGGUGCUGGGCCUUGAACAGCCUAGUACCUUGACUCUGAUGCCCUCGGACCCCACCCAUCUCUGCUUCUCAUUCCUAGGACUCUAUGCCAUGCUAUGCCAACCCCACUUCCCACCUCAGGGAUUCUCACUCCAGGAAAACCUGCCCUGCACCACACCUUCAACACCUGGGCCUCAGUUUUCCUUUUUUUUUGCUGUGUUCUUACAGUGUUGUUGUGACGCCAGUUAUUUCCAAAGUGCACAGGACCUGCCUAACACAAAAAUAUUGGCAUCCAUUAUGAAUAAGAAGAAUUUAAUCUUGAACCUAUCACCUUGAUUCAGACUCUACUUCCUCACGAGCGAAGGAAAUCCUAGGAAGCAUAAUACUUAGCGAUAUCUUUAAAGAAAUCACUAGGACAAUUUUACUUUGUCAAAAAAAAAAAAUAGGGGGAGCAUUGUUAUGAUCAUGAUGCCCCUGAAGGCACAGCAGUCAGUGCCUCGUCCUUCAAACAAAUUUUUGGAUUUCUGUUUGGAUUAAGGAAUGAAAGGGACAGUUACUGAAAACUUCUAAGCACUAACACUUUGGUAUAGCUGGAUAUCGUUUUGUUUGGUUUUGACUGAAAAUGUCACCACCAUCCACAGUGGCAGGAAGUAUUAGCUGCGGUCUCCAGUGAGCACAUGGGAGCCCAGAAAAAAGGAACUCACCUCAAAGCCACUUGAUCCCAGGGAGAACUCCGUGUUUGUUAUUGUAAAACUGAAACUCUGUGGCUGAGGGAUCUCUGAAAUAAAAGGGCUCGUUGAACCAUUGCCGAUCCUAGGUCCCUGGGACACCUCUCUGUAACUUCCAGCAGCGAGGCAACAGGUGGGUCCUCUAGAGCUAGAGCCAAGAAUUAUUUUUAUAAUGAACACUGAGUGAAGGAAAGCACAAGUUAUUUAUACCAAACCUAUAUUAUCUCUAAGUACAAGGAGAAGGAAGCUAUGAAGGAGGAGAAGCUUUGGGACUGAAAGAGAUUCCAUAUGGAGAAGUAGUUUUAGUGCCUGGAUCAGCUAGAGUUAACAAUCUAGAAAGUUUACAGUGGGUGGCCCUGGUGGUCGGCCAUAAUGGAAGUUAAGUCUAGAUGUCAACAUGCACUCAGGAAUGUGAAACAGUUUUUGGUUGGUUUCUCCCACAGCACUUAACUCAUUAACUUCCCUUAUGUCUUACUCCCUCCGUACCCUGGCUUGUACAAUUUAAUUUAGGACAGCUAAG